This 398-nucleotide unclassified non-coding RNA is filed under the name soil metagenome. RNAcentral describes it as "partial contains 5.8S ribosomal RNA, internal transcribed spacer 2, and large subunit ribosomal RNA". The stretch from base 1 to 120 matches the Rfam family "5.8S ribosomal RNA", at positions 35 to 154 of the family's 154-position model. The record is from RNAcentral.
GAUGAAGAACGCAGCGAAAUGCGAUAAGUAAUGUGAAUUGCAGAAUUCAGUGAAUCAUCGAAUCUUUGAACGCACCUUGCGCUCCUUGGUAUUCCGAGGAGCAUGCCUGUUUGAGUGUCAUUAAAUUCUCAACUAUUAUCAGCUUUAGCUGAUAAUGGCUUGGAUAUGGGGGUUUAUUUUGCUGGCUUCUUCACAGAUUGUCAGCUCCCCUUAAAUGCAUUAGCCGGUGCCCCGCGUGGACUGUCUAUUGGUGUGAUAAUUAUCUACGCCGUGGACAUCUACAAUCAUAUGGGUUUGCACUGCUUCCAACCGUCUGUUUAUUCAGACAAUACAUGACAAUUUGACCUCAAAUCAGGUAGGACUACCCGCUGAACUUAAGCAUAUCAAUAAGCGGAGGA